AAUUCGGAGUCUCGAACGCUGCCAUCGUCAUGCAGGAGAAGAGAACAUAGGAAAUAGCUCACUUAGGUCUCUGGUUUAGCGAGGCGGGAGGAUGGAGACCACUACAAAAGUAGGUACGUAUGGGGAUGCGGAAACGGUGGUGGUGGUGGAUCCACAAGAGUGAGCAAUCUGAGUGUUAAAUGAUGCCAAUGUGAUGCGUAGAUUAUGAAGCAACCUGUGUCCUAAUUCAUGGUUUGUCUCGAGGAUGCUGCUAGUUUCGGCGGGACUUUGUAUAAGUUCCUACUCAUGACAUGACUGCAGACUUGAUAGAUUUUGAAGAAUUCAUCGCCAGGAAUGUUCCUUCUAAUGGCCGCACCUGGGCGAAGAACCGAUCCACUGAUUUCUGCACAUACAACACGACGUCGUAAGGUUUACUGUGGCUUAAGAAGAAACGUUAGGGAGGUACUGGCAUUGGUAGAGCAAUUUCCAUUUCAAUUCCUUUAGGUCGGUGAUUGAGUUGGUGUGUAGGAAUAACAAAUAGUAUGAUUAAAUGUUUCUGGUGUUAUCACUCACCUUUCCGUCCUCGGAGGCAGGAAGUCGUUCAUCCUCGUAGAAGAACCCCUUGAUUCCUUUCUUUGCCUGAGAAGUCACGGUGAGUCGCAAUUAAAUUUGAAUGUUUGAUAGUUUUUAUGACUUUUCUUUAGAUAAUUAUCUGCACAGAAGUUAGAUCGUCGAGCUUGCGAAUCGUGUGUACCGUCGGAUCCUCGUGAGGGUAUGGAGGUCGCACUAUCGGAGGCCGGUACUUCAAUCUUGCGCGGCACAUUUGAGUCAUCUGAUUGGUUUGCCCAUAGGUAGUGGAGUAGUGGUUGUUGCGACUGUGAUCCAGCCCCCACAUGUACUCUGGAUUCUCAUACGCAGGGCGCUGCUCAUCCCAUCUCAAUUCGAAAACCACGUGAAACACAACCCCAUUCUGCGUUUUCAUGGUUUAAGAGUGAACCAACUAUAGAUUUGUGUUGUAGGCAUGAAUUGUGCUUACCUUAGGUUUGUGUCCGGUGUAGCCCGGUUGCUUUCCACCCCAUUCUUCCAUGUCCCGGGUAUGGUAGCGAGGCAAUUGUACGUAGUAUGCAGGCGAGAUCUCCUCCAGGGGAAUGAAACCGCCAUAGCCUGGAAGAUGUCUGCCUCUUUGAUUCUCUUUCUUCCAUUCCCUUUCCUCGAGUGCCCUCACCUGCUCGAGUCCACUCUUGAAAUUAGGUUAAUCUGCAUGCUCAUUCAUUCUCAUAACAUGGAUUGUAUGUACUUCUUUUGUAGUGCUAGAUUUCAUGUGCAUGGAACGCUCUCGUCUCUUUGCAUAUUCUCAAGGGCACUUAUCAGAUGUUUAACGUAACCACAUCAACUCUUUACGGUAACGCUUCAGAUAAGACGCUUUGUGCAAUGGCUGCUGGACAAGAAUGAUCAAAUUCAUAGUGCAUAGAUUCCAAAAUUCUGUUGGAUAAAUUGUACCCAAUAAACAUUUAAACAGGUGGCUCAUAAUCAUGCAUUACCCUUUCACAAAGCAUCUGCAUUUUCAAUCGCUUCUUCACUCAUGAGAAGUCUUAAAAGCCGAUCUCCUUUGGAAGGUUCAUGUUGCCUUGGACAACAGGAGGUGUCGAAGACUCUUGGGACUAACCCUGGAUUGGUGAUCUGUGGCUCGUAUGUCGAAAAGGAAUGAAACACCAUCAGGUGAAGUUUGUGGUUAGAGAUUCAGUGUGUUACCGCACAAAGAACGAAAGUUCGAAAGACAUUCCUUUUCAUAUUUGAGUGCCUCUUCGUGCCUGUGGGUUAUCUUUGGCUUCCUGCUGCGCACAUUCAGAUCAGUUUCAUUGACUCCGUCAUCGCUGUUCCUCCGUUCUGAGGACCAGGUUUGUAUUCUUUCAUCUUCUCCGCAUUGAUACAUCUUAUUCAGUGACUUAAAACGUUCAACCACAGCUGAAGGUGAUUCAGGUUCUGAUCAGCUGCAUCGACGUGCAGACCCCAGCAAAAGUGAAGCACCGAGAUAACGAUGCAACGCGCCUCGGCUGUCAUUUAUGAAGGUAAUGAAUUCUUAACAGUUAGUGUUGAAGUUGAAAUCUGGAAUUAUUUUAAGGUGGCUGUGUAAGAAGAUCAUAUUGUAUUACAACGUGUACAAAUUUGUUUAAACGGUAUGGUCAUAGCUUCAAUUACUUUGUAAACUUUGUUUUUGUUUUAAUAAUGUGGAUGAGAAACUCAAUUACUUUUUUUGAUACAUUCUUAAUUUGAAAUGAAUCGGGAUAGAUGAUAUUUCUUUUGAAUAUUCAGUUUGAUAAUGAAAUUACCAUUAAAAUUUUAAGUUCUUAUUUAUGUUUCUUCAUUGUAAUUAUUAUAACAUCUAAAAUAAUUAUGUUAAAAGAAUUUCAAAAUCAAUUGCAUUUAUGGUGGUAUUUUUGUUUUUAUAAUUUUCAAGCUAUAGAAUCUUAAUCAAUUCAAAGAAGUGCAUCUUAAAAGGGCAAAAUACAAGGAUUCUAAGAUCUAUUCUUGCAUUCUUCAAUGAUUGUCCUUGAAAUUUGUUGAUAGUCAUUGUAAUUUUUACCUUUAUUAGAAAUUGGCUUUGCUACAAUUUGAACAAAAUCUUUGCAAAUGAUGGAUAUAAUGUGAUUUUUGGAAGAAAAGCCAACUAUCUCUUAUAGUCUCUAGAUAAAAAUCUUCCUUUUAUAACUCAAUUAGUGAGUUGUGUAAUAAUCAAGCAUGAUUCAUUGUGUAGUCUUUGAAAUGGAGCAAUAUUUUGCAACAACAUAAUAAGAUAGCCAACCUUUUAUUUCUAAACUAAAUGGUGGCAAUCUAAAUGGACUUAAGUUAUUCAAAUACUUGAUUGGAUAAUAAUAAUUAUUAUUAUUGAAACUAUUUUUAUAAUUUCUUUAUCUAUACAAAGAUAAAUAAGUAAAAUUUUAGAAUAUCAU
Molecule: long non-coding RNA, 2930 nt
Filed under: Physcomitrium patens
Lineage: Eukaryota; Viridiplantae; Streptophyta; Bryopsida; Funariales; Funariaceae
Description: long non-coding RNA (PPAT_LNC008492)
Source: RNAcentral